RNAcentral lists this transfer RNA (85 nucleotides) under Holosporales bacterium. Its description in RNAcentral is "tRNA-Leu". It matches the Rfam family "tRNA". Rfam says of the family: Transfer RNA (tRNA) molecules are approximately 80 nucleotides in length. Their secondary structure includes four short double-helical elements and three loops (D, anti-codon, and T loops). The record is from RNAcentral. Lineage: Bacteria; Pseudomonadati; Pseudomonadota; Alphaproteobacteria; Holosporales.
GCGGCCGUGGUGAAACUGGUAGACACGCCAGGUUUAGGUCCUGGUGGCGAAAGUCAUGGGGGUUCAAGUCCCUUCGGCCGUACCA